This 233-nucleotide ribosomal RNA is filed under the name uncultured bacterium. Its description in RNAcentral is "partial 16S ribosomal RNA". It matches the Rfam family "Bacterial small subunit ribosomal RNA", at positions 118 to 347 of the family's 1533-position model. The record is from RNAcentral.
UGAGGAACAUGACCUUCGGCGGGGGAUAGCCGGCCCAACGGCCGGGUAAUACCGCGUACGACCACAUGGGGACAUCCCUGAGUGGUGAAAGCAGCAAUGCGCCGAUGGAGUGCCUCGUGGCCUAUCAGCUAGUUGGUGAGGUAACGCUCACCAAGGCGACGACGGGUAGCUGGUCUGAGAGGAUGGCCAGCCACAGUUGGGACUGAGACACGGCCCAGACCUCGUACGGGGAG